Dreissena polymorpha is the source of this 883-nucleotide long non-coding RNA. RefSeq lists it as uncharacterized. The record is from RefSeq and is a predicted model, not a curated record. Lineage: Eukaryota; Metazoa; Mollusca; Bivalvia; Myida; Dreissenidae. The transcript is spliced from 4 exons.
UGUAAACUAUACGCACUGGUACCCUGGUCGCAAAACGUCGCGCCUCAAAGCGAUGCAGAUUGUGUGGCCAUGGUGAUGGCCCAUGGUGGACAAUGGAACGAUGUGCAUUGUAGUGGACUAAACGCCAAAUAUAUAGGAAACGUUUGUGAAUUCGUUUGCAGAUGAAGUAGCAAUAACUAGCAAUCCAGAGUUCCCAGUUUCGAUGAACACUGAUGAUAGGUAUCGCAAAUCGCAGGUUCUUUGCUGAGUUUGAAUAUGUGCGUAUUUAACAUAUUUUUAAUAUAUUGUUCGGUUUUCUUGUGUAUAAUAUUCCAAAUAAUACUGUCACACUUAGGCAACACGACGCUCUGUCCUAGAAAAGCGUCUUCAAUCGUUGCACAAUUCGGUAAAAGCUGUUACGAUUUGUACCGCGACGUCGAGGUUUGGAGUCACGCUGAGCAGACCUGUAGACUGAGUGGAGGUCAUCUUGUUCACAUCAACGACGCACAAGAACAGCAGUACAUAGCGUUGUUCAUGAGGAGACAUAACCAAACAACACCUGCUUGGAUUGGACUCAGUGACAGAUCUGUUCAAGGGCAGUUUGUUUGGACUGAUGGUGUGUUGGCAUCCUACACAAACUGAUUGUCUGGACACGUGCCGCACGGAAGUGCCGAGGACUGUGUGGCGCUGCUGCCAAAGCACAAUGGAGCCUGGGAGGAUUUCAGCUGUGGAGAAGCUGUGAAUCACAUCGACGUCGGCGAACAACACCAACCCUUGUGCGAAAAUGUAUAUACCAUUGCGUCUGUACUGGUUGACUGAGAGACAACUAUCAAGUCUCAUAAUUUCAAAAGUUUUGGUGCUUGGAAUGAAUAUAAUAAAUAUACAUGUGUAUGAUAUAAUCAAA